UUGGGGCAUAGGGUUUAGGUUUUAGGGUUUUAGGGUAUAGGGUUUAGGGUAUAGGGUUUAGGGUUUAGGGUAUAGGGUUUAGGGUAUAGGGUUUAGGGUAUAGGGUUUAGGGUAUAGGGUUUAGGGUUUAGGGUUUAGGGUAUAGGGUUUAGGGUUUAGGGUUUAGGGUUUAGGGUAUAGGGUUUAGGGUUUAGGGUAUAGGGUAUAGGGUAUAGGGUAUAGGGUUUAGGGUUUAGGGUAUAGGGUAUAGGGUUUAGGGUUUAGGGUUUAGCGUUCUAGGGUUUUAGGGUUUAGGCGUUUAGGGUUUAGGUUUAGGUUUUAGGGUUUAUGGUUAGGUUUAGGGCUUUAGGUUUGAGGGUUUAGGUUUAGGGUUUAGGGUUUAGGUUUUAGGGUUUUAGGGUUUAGGUUUAGGUUUAGGGUUAGGUUUAGGUUUUAGGUUUUAGUUUAGGGUUUUAGGGUUUUAGGUUAGGGUUUAGGUUUAGUCCGUUUAGGUUUAGGUUUUUAGGUUUAGGGUUUUAGGGUUUAGGGUUUAGGUUAGGUUAGGUUAGGGUUUAGGUGUAGGGUUUAGGGUUAGGGUUAGGUUUAGGGGUUUAGGGUUAGGGUUUAGGGUUUAGGGGUUUAGGGUUUAGGGUUUAGGUUGGUAGGGUUGUUAGGUUUAGGGUUAGGGUUUAGGGUUGGGUUAGUUAGGGUUUAGGGUUUAGGGUUUAGGGUUUUAGUUUAAGGGUUUAGGGUUUAGUUUUAGGGGUUAGGUUUAGGUUUAGGGUUAGGGUUUAGGUUUAGUAGGGUUUUAGUUUAGGGUUUAGGUUAGGGUUUAGGUUAGGGUUUAGGGUUUAGGGUUUAGCGGUUUAGGGUUUAGGUUUUAGGGUUAGGUUAUUUUAGUGGGUUUAUGGUUUAGGUUUAGGGUUAGGUUAGGUUUAGGUUUAGUUUAGGUUAGGGUUAGGGUUUAGGGUUUAGGGUGUUAGGUUUAGGUUUAGGGUUUAGGGUUUAGGGUUUAGGUUUAGGUUUAGUAGGGUUUAGGGUUAGUUUAGGGUUUAGUUUAGGGCUUUAGGUUUAGGUUUUAGGGUUUAGGUUAUUUUAGGUUUAUUUAGUUUAGGUUUAGGGUUUAGUUUAGGUUUAGGUUUUAGGUUUAGGGUUAUGGUUAGUUAGUUUAGUGUUUAGUUUUAGUUUAGGGUUUAGGUUUAGGUUUAGGUUUAGUUUAGUUAGGGUUGUUAGGGUUUAGGUUUAGGGUUUUAGGGUUUAGGGUUUAGUUUAGUAGGGUUUAGUUAUUUAGGGUUUAGGGUUUAGGUUUAGCGGUUUAGGGUUUAAGGUUUCUAGGGUUUAGGUUUAGGGUUUCAGGUUAGCGGUUAGGUAGGGUUUAGGGUUUAGGGUUUAAGGGUUUACGGUUUAGGGUUUAGGGUUUAGGGGUUUAGGGUUUCUAGGGGUUUAGGGUUAGGUUUAGGGGUUUAGGGUUUAGGUUUUGUAGUUUAGGGUUUUAGGUUUAGGGUUUAGUGUUUAGGAGUUUAGGUUUUUAGGGUUAGGGUUUAGGGUUUAGGGUUUAGGGUUUAGGGUUUGAGUUGUAGUUUUUAGGGUUUAGGGUUUUAGGGUUUAGGGCUUUUAGGCGUUUUAGGUUCUAGGUUUAGGGUUAGGGUUUUAAGGUUCUAGGGUUUAGCGGUUUGGGUUUAGGGUUUUAGGGUUUAGGGUUAGGGUUUUAGGUUUUUAGGUUUAGGGUUUAGUGUUUAGGGUUUAGGUUUAGGCGUUUUAGGGUUUAGGUUUAGGGGUUUCAGGGUUUUAGGGUUUAGGUUUAGGUUUUUAGGGUUUAGGGUUUAGGGGUUUUAGGUUUUUUAGGGUUUAGGGGUUUAGGUUUUAUGGUUUAGCGGUUUAGGGUUUAGGGUUUAGGGUUUAGGGUUUAGGUUAGGGUUUUAGGGUUAGGGUUUAGGGUUAGGGUUUAGGGUUUAGGGUUUAGGGUUCUAGAGGUUUAGGGUUUAGGGUUUAGGGUUUUAAGGUUUAGGGUUUAGGGUUAGAGUUUAGGGUUUAGGGUUUAGGGUUUAGGGUUUAGGGUUUAGGGUUUUAGGUUUAGGGUUUAGGUUUAGGUUUAGGUUUAGGGGUUUAGGGUUUAGGUUUAGUUAGGGUUUAUAUGGGUUUAGGGUUUAGGGUUUAGCGGUUUUAGGGUUUAGGGUUUAGCGGUUUUUAGGGUUUUAGGGUUUUAGGGUUUACGGGUUUAGGGUUUAGGGUAGGGUUUAGUGUUUAGGGUUAGGGUUUAGGGUUUAGUUUUUUAGGGUUUAGGGUUCUAGGGAUUUAGGUUAGGGUUUUAGGUUUAGGUUUAGGGUUUAGGGUUUACGGGUUUAGGGUUUAGGGUUUAGGGCUUUAGGGUUAGGGUUUAGGUUUAGGGUUAGGGUUUAGUUUAGGGUUUAGUUUAGGUAUAGGGUUUAGGUUUAGAGGUUUAGGGUGGUUAGGGUUUAGGGUUAGGUUUAGGUUUAGGGUUUAGGGUUUAGGGUUUAGGGUAUUUUUUUUAGGGUUUAUGUGGUUUAGCGUUAGGGUAUAGGGUUUAGUUUUAGGGUUUAGGGUUUUAGGUUUAGGGUUUAGCGGCUUUAGGUUUAGGGUUAGGUUUAGGUUUAGGGUUCUAGGUUUAGGUUUGGGUUUUAGGUUAGUUUAGGUUUAGGUUUAGGUUUAGGCGUUUAGGGUUUAGUUAAGGUUUAGGGUUUAGGGUUAGGGUUAGUUUUAGGUUUAGGGUUUACCUCCGCUCAUGUUUAGGGUUUAGUGGUUUUAGGUUUAUUAGGGUUUAGGGGUUUUAGGGUUUAGGGUUUAGGGUUAGGUUUAGGGUUUAUGGUUUGGGUUUUAGGGGUUUAGGGGUUUUAGGGUUUUAGGGUUUAGGGUUUUAGGGUUUUUUAGGGUUUAGGGUUUUAGUGUUAGGGUUUAGGGUUUAGGUGUAGGGUUUAGGUUUUAGGUUUAGGUUUAGGGUUUAGGGUUUUAGUAGGUUUUAGGGUUUAGGGUUUUAGGGUUUAGGUUUAGGUUAGGGUUUUAGGGUUUGAGGUUUAGGUGUUACGGGUUUAGGUUUAGGUUUAGGUUUAGGGUUUAGGGUUUAGGUUUAGGGUUUUUAGGUUUAGGGUUUAGGUUUAGGGUUAGGGUUUUAGGGUUUAGGGUUUAGGGUUUAGGGAUUUAGGGUUUAGGGUUAGGGUUUAGGGUUUAGGGUUUUAGGUUUAGGGUUAGCGGUUUAGGUUUUAGUCGUUCUAGGGUUUAGGGUUAGGGUUUAGGGUUUAGGUUUAGGGUUUUUAGGGUUUAGGUUUAGGGUUUAGGUUUAGGGUUUAGGUUUAGGUUUAGUUUAGGGUUUAGGGGUUUUAGGGUGUUAGGUUUAGGGUUAGGUUUAGGUUAGGUUUUAGGUUUAUGUUUAGGUUAGGGUUUUAGCGUUUAGGGUUUAGGGUUUAGGCGUUUAGGUUUAGGGUUUUAGGGUUUUAAGGGUUUAGGGUUUUAGGGUGUUAGGGUUAGGGUUUAGGGGUUUUAGGGUUAGGGUUUAGGGUUUAGGUAGGUUUAGGGUUUAGGGUUUAGGUUUUAGGGUUUAGGGUUUUAGCGGGUUUAGGGUUUAGGGUUAGGGUGUAGGGUUUAGGGUUUAGGGUUG
RNAcentral lists this long non-coding RNA (3592 nucleotides) under Ananas comosus (pineapple). Its description in RNAcentral is "long non-coding RNA (ACOM_LNC027605)". Lineage: Eukaryota; Viridiplantae; Streptophyta; Magnoliopsida; Poales; Bromeliaceae. The record is from RNAcentral.